GACGAACCGUGCGAACGUUGUUCGGAAUCACUGGGCUUAAAGGGCGCGUAGGCGGGCUGCCAAGUCAGGGGUGAAAGCCCACGGCUCAACCGUGGAAGUGCCUUUGAUACUGGCGGUCUCGAGGGAAGUAGGGGCGUGCGGAACUUCCGGUGGAGCGGUGAAAUGCGUAGAUAUCGGAAGGAACACCGGUGGCGAAAGCGGCGCGCUGGACUUCUACUGACGCUGAGGCGCGAAAGCCAGGGGAGCAAAGCGGG
RNAcentral lists this ribosomal RNA (254 nucleotides) under uncultured bacterium. Its description in RNAcentral is "partial 16S ribosomal RNA". It matches the Rfam family "Bacterial small subunit ribosomal RNA", at positions 524 to 777 of the family's 1533-position model. The record is from RNAcentral.